CGAAAACGAAUUCUCUCUUGAGUGGAUCCUGAGUACGACGGAGCACGUGAAAUUCCGUCGGAAUCUGGGAGGACCAUCUCCUAAGGCUAAAUACUCUCUAGUGACCGAUAGUGAACCAGUACCGUGAGGGAAAGGUGAAAAGUACCCCGGAAGGGGAGUGAAAGAGAACUUGAAACCGUGUGCUUACAAGUAGUCAGAGCCCGUUAAUGGGUGAUGGCGUGCCUUUUGUAGAAUGAACCGGCGAGUUACGAUCUGAUGCAAGGUUAAGCAGAAAAUGUGGAGCCGUAGCGAAAGCGAGUCUGAAUAGGGCGAAUGAGUAUUUGGUCGUAGACCCGAAACCAGGUGAUCUACCCUUGGUCAGGUUGAAGUUCAGGUAACACUGAAUGGAGGACCGAACCGACUUACGUUGAAAAGUGAGCGGAUGAACUGAGGGUAGCGGAGAAAUUCCAAUCGAACUUGGAGAUAGCUGGUUCUCUCCGAAAUAGCUUUAGGGCUAGCCUCAAGUGAUGAUUAUUGGAGGUAGAGCACUGUUUGGACGAGGGGCCCCUCUCGGGUUACCGAAUUCAGACAAACUCCGAAUGCCAAAUAAUUUAACUUGGGAGUCAGAAUGUGGGUGAUAAGGUCCAUAUUCGAAAGGGAAACAGCCCAGACCACCAGCUAAGGUCCCAAAAUAUAUGUUAAGUGGAAAAGGAUGUGGCGUUGCCCAGACAACUAGGAUGUUGGCUUAGAAGCAGCCAUCAUUUAAAGAGUGCGUAAUAGCUCACUAGUCGAGUGACACUGCGCCGAAAAUGUACCGGGGCUAAACAUAUUACCGAAGCUGUGGAUUGUCCUUUGGACAAUGGUAGGAGAGCGUUCUAAGGGCGUUGAAGCAUGAUCGCAAGGACAUGUGGAGCGCUUAGAAGUGAGAAUGCCGGUGUGAGUAGCGAAAGACGGGU
RNAcentral lists this ribosomal RNA (935 nucleotides) under Staphylococcus pseudintermedius. RNAcentral's name for it is "partial 23S ribosomal RNA". It matches the Rfam family "Bacterial large subunit ribosomal RNA", at positions 380 to 1322 of the family's 2925-position model. Lineage: Bacteria; Bacillati; Bacillota; Bacilli; Caryophanales; Staphylococcaceae. The record is from RNAcentral.